AGAAUCUUCGGCAAUGGGCGCAAGCCUGACCGAGCGACGCCGCGUGCGGGAUGAAGGCCUUCGGGUUGUAAACCGCUAUCAGUGGGGAGGAAAUGCCGGUGGGUUCUCCCAUCGGUUGACCUAUCCGCAGAUUAAGGACGGGCUAAGUUCGUGCCAGCAACCGCGGUAAGACGAACCGUCCAAACGGUAUUCCGAAUUACUUGGCUUAAAGGGUGCGUAGGCUGUCCGGUAAGUUGGGUGUGAAAGCCCUCGGCUCAACCGAGGAAUUGCGCCCAAAACUGCCGGGCUCGAGGGAGAUGGAGGUGAGCGGAACUAAGGGUGGAGCGGUGAAAUGCAUUGAUAUCCUUAGGAACACCAGUAGCGAAAGCGGCUCACUGGGUCUCUUCUGACGCUGAGGCACGAAAGCUAGGGGAGCGAACGG
RNAcentral lists this ribosomal RNA (421 nucleotides) under uncultured bacterium. RNAcentral's name for it is "bacterial SSU rRNA". It matches the Rfam family "Bacterial small subunit ribosomal RNA", at positions 358 to 775 of the family's 1533-position model. The record is from RNAcentral.